AAAAAAAAAAAACUGAUGUUUUUAUCUUGAAUCAAUAUGAUCAGGAGUUUUUGGAAUUACUUUUCACCUUAAAUUGAAAUAGUGCAUUUUUAUAGUUUCUCAGAGCAUGUGGAAGGGAUAGAAUUUUCAUUCUUUUGCUGGGUCAGCUUGUCUUUAGUAUAUAUACUACUCUUAUAAACCAAAGCCUCUAAUAAGAGCACCUAAUUUAUAUUUUAAUUACAGUGUAAGUGUCUAUCAAGUAAACCAUGCUGGAGCUUUGUUUAGCUGCUCAUAACUUCAACUAAAAUUAUCAAGAAUGAAAAUUUUCUUCUAAAUAUUAUUUAGCAAGCUUUACUCUGUGGUACAAAUCACUUUAAAAUGGAAGAAUUAAUUUUGGAAGUAAAGGAAUCCCAGUUCCCUAAGUGUUGAAAAUUUGCAUCUGACUUUCAAGGUGCGUGGCAUGUCAUUCAAUCCAGAAGACAAUCAAAACUCCGGGGUGAGAGAUUGGAAAAAUCUGAAAUCACAGGUGGAUUUUUAAAUUCAGCCAACAAAAAAUAUAUACCUUCUGUUUUUAAAAACAUUGAUGUGAUAUUUUGGACAACUUUUGGAUUUUGCAGUUUAAAUAUCAAGUGAAAAGAACAUUUAUGUUCUGGUUCAUGUGAUAUAGUAGGUUCCAGUCUGUGUUUUUGAAGCCAAAGGGUUCCUCAGAGGUGCCUGAUGAGUGAUGGUUUAGAAAGGGAGGGAAAGCCUAGCCUAUCCUCAUCCCUUCCCCCUUCACCCAAAGCAGCUUCUAUUUUUUCUUUUAUAUAUUGGAAUUCUAAGUAAGCUUUCCUGGGGUGUGUUGGUAUGGGGGGCGGGUAGGGAAAUGAGUAGGAUAAAACAAGUGGAGACUUUGCUGCUUUAAAAACAAUUUUCUGAGUAUUUUAAUGUAUUUUAUUUGGCCAAAUUUGACUGCUACAAAAGCUAGUCAUAAUAACUGUGCAGCAGUAAUGUGCAGCUAUGCCAACCUUUCUUCCCACUGUUUUUCCUACUGCAUUCUUAGUACUGAAGAAAAUCUUGAAAUGUACAGAAAUGCUAUUUGAUUAUCAGUAAUUUUUAGCUUUUGUGAAAGUACAUUAGUUACAGGUCCAUCUCUCUUUUCUAUAAAGCACGAGUGCAGUUUGUAGUUGUGCCUACUCUUAUAAUAUUUCAGUAAAAAGUAAAUACACGAUGAAUACUUUCUAGAAUUCAUAACUGACAGGGAUGCCGUAAUAAUAAAAUUAUAUUAACAGUUUUCAUGUACAGUAUAAAGAAGGCAGAUCUGGGCGCGUGGUGCUCACUUGUAAUUCCAGUUACUUGGGAGGCUGAGGCAGGAAGAUCACAA
RNAcentral lists this long non-coding RNA (1342 nucleotides) under Marmota monax (woodchuck). The record is from RNAcentral. Lineage: Eukaryota; Metazoa; Chordata; Mammalia; Rodentia; Sciuridae.